GACGAACGCUGGCGGCGUGCUUAACACAUGCAAGUCGAGCGGUAAGGCCCUUCGGGGUACACGAGCGGCGAACGGGUGAGUAACACGUGGGUGACCUGCCCCCUACUCUGGGAUAAGCCUGGGAAACUGGGUCUAAUACCGGAUAUGACCAUAUGUCGCCUGGUGUGUGGUGGAAAGCCAGUUACAUUGUUUCUGGCGGUGGGGGAUGGGCCCGCGGCCUAUCAGCUUGUUGGUGGGGUGAUGGCCUACCAAGGCGACGACGGGUAGCCGGCCUGAGAGGGCGACCGGCCACACUGGGACUGAGACACGGCCCAGACUCCUACGGGAGGCAGCAGUGGGGAAUAUUGCGCAAUGGGCGAAAGCCUGACGCAGCGACGCCGCGUGGGGGAUGACGGCCUUCGGGUUGUAAACCUCUUUCGCCAUCGACGAAGCCCCUUCGGGGGUGACGGUAGGUGGAGAAGAAGCACCGGCCAACUACGUGCCAGCAGCCGCCGUAA
Molecule: ribosomal RNA, 497 nt
Filed under: uncultured bacterium
Lineage: Bacteria
Description: partial 16S ribosomal RNA
Rfam family: Bacterial small subunit ribosomal RNA
Source: RNAcentral